CCCAUCUGUGUUUGUUUGCAACACGAGACAUCAGUCAAGGAGAGGAGGUCACCUAUAAUUAUGGUGACUCGGAUUGGCCGUGGAGAUGCAAGCUUCAGAAAUCUGAAGGAAAGUCUUCGGACGGGGAGCACGGUGAAGGUCCAUCUACAUCCGAGCCUUCUCAGAGUACUCAAAAGGUGUCAACAAGUAAGAGGCAAGAAAAGAGAUCUCCAGGUGCAUCAACUAGUCUGCUCAAAAGAUAUGAAAAGAUGAUAACAGUGAGCUGAUUGAGUCUGCUCAGAGGGACGAAACUGACCAGCUUGAGACCUCUGUGGAUGGCCUGAAUCCAACAUUCACACAACUUGGUCUCCUCAACUGGGUUGAAGAGAUGAUAACAGUGAGCUGAUUGAGUCUGCUCUGAGGGACGAAACUGACCAGCUUGAGACCUCUGUGGAUGGCCUGAAUCCAACAUUCACACAACUUGGUCUCCUCAACAGGGUUGAAGAGUGUCAAGCAUCACCUGGUGUGCACAACAAUAUCCUCCUUGGACAAGUAUGUUCAAUGUUUGGGACCUGUAUCCUCCAAGUGGCGUGUCUAUGAAUGCAGAGAUAAGAUAUUUCGUGGAUUGGUACAAAGUGCGUCUUGGGGUAUUAGGUCGGUAUAUUUGCUGUGUUCAAAUGUACAAACCAUUCUAUAAUGAAACACUUAUGACAAAUAAUCCUUAAUUCACAGCAUAGGAUGCUAUAUCAACUAUUUCCAAAAUUGUGAAGUGUAAGUAUAUCAUUGAAAUUACUUAAGUGUUUUAUUUUUGCCUUAUUGGUACUGACAAGAUCUCUUAUGGUUUAAUGCUAGAGGUUCUUUUCCAAUACACCAGCUGUUACACUUAAAAGUGUAAACAUGGGCAACAAUU
Pseudoliparis swirei is the source of this 889-nucleotide long non-coding RNA. RefSeq lists it as uncharacterized. The record is from RefSeq and is a predicted model, not a curated record. NCBI's taxonomy places the organism in Eukaryota, Metazoa, Chordata, Actinopteri, Perciformes, Liparidae. The transcript has 5 exons.